RNAcentral lists this ribosomal RNA (1007 nucleotides) under Bacteroidales bacterium. RNAcentral describes it as "bacterial SSU rRNA". It matches the Rfam family "Bacterial small subunit ribosomal RNA", at positions 1 to 994 of the family's 1533-position model. Lineage: Bacteria; Pseudomonadati; Bacteroidota; Bacteroidia; Bacteroidales. The record is from RNAcentral.
AAACAACGGAGAGUUUGAUCCUGGCUCAGGAUGAACGCUAGCGGCAGGCUUAACACAUGCAAGUCGAGGGGCAGCGGGGAGGAAGCUUGCUUUCUCCGCCGGCGACCGGCGCACGGGUGAGUAACACGUAUGCAACCUGCCCCUGUCAGGGGGACAACCCGCCGAAAGGCGGGCUAAACCCGCGUACAUGCCACCGGGGCAUCCCGGAGGCAGGAAAGGCUUCGGCCGGACAGGGAUGGGCAUGCGGCGCAUUAGGCAGUAGGCGGGGUAACGGCCCACCUAACCGACGAUGCGUAGGGGUUCUGAGAGGAAGGUCCCCCACACUGGUACUGAGACACGGACCAGACUCCUACGGGAGGCAGCAGUGAGGAAUAUUGGUCAAUGGUCGGGAGACUGAACCAGCCAAGCCGCGUGAGGGAGGAAGGUACAGAGUAUCGUAAACCUCUUUUGUCAGGGAACAAAGGCGGGGACGUGUCCCCGGAUGAGUGUACCUGAAGAAAAAGCAUCGGCUAACUCCGUGCCAGCAGCCGCGGUAAUACGGAGGAUGCGAGCGUUAUCCGGAUUUAUUGGGUUUAAAGGGUGCGCAGGCGGUCUGUUAAGUCAGCGGUCAAAGCCCGGGGCUCAACCCCGGCCCGCCGUUGAAACUGGCAGUCUCGAGUUGGAGAGAAGUAUGCGGAAUGCGCGGUGUAGCGGUGAAAUGCAUAGAUAUCGCGCAGAACUCCGAUUGCGAAGGCAGCAUGCCGGCUCCACACUGACGCUGAGGCACGAAAGCGUGGGUAUCGAACAGGAUUAGAUACCCUGGUAGUCCACGCAGUAAACGAUGAAUGCUGGCUGUCCGGGGGGAUUGACCCCUGGGUGGCGAAGCGAAAGCGAUAAGCAUUCCACCUGGGGAGUACGCCGGCAACGGUGAAACUCAAAGGAAUUGACGGGGGCCCGCACAAGCGGAGGAACAUGUGGUUUAAUUCGAUGAUACGCGAGGAACCUUACCCGGGCUCAAACGGGGAGUG